AACGAACGCUGGCGGCAUGCCUAACACAUGCAAGUCGAACGAGACCUUCGGGUCUAGUGGCGCACGGGUGCGUAACGCGUGGGAACCUGCACUUAGGUUCGGAAUAACUCCCCGAAAGGGGUGCUAAUACCGGAUAAUGUCUUCGGACCAAAGAUUUAUCGCCUUUGGAUGGGCCCGCGUUGGAUUAGCUAGUUGGUAGGGUAAAAGCCUACCAAGGCGACGAUCCAUAGCUGGUCUGAGAGGAUGAUCAGCCACACUGGGACUGAGACACGGCCCAGACUCCUACGGGAGGCAGCAGUGGGGAAUAUUGGACAAUGGGCGAAAGCCUGAUCCAGCAAUGCCGCGUGAGUGAUGAAGGCCGUAGGGUUGUAAAGCUCUUUUACCCGGGAUGAUAAUGACAGUACCGGGAGAAUAAGCUCCGGCUAACUCCGUG
Molecule: ribosomal RNA, 433 nt
Filed under: uncultured bacterium
Lineage: Bacteria
Description: partial 16S ribosomal RNA
Rfam family: Bacterial small subunit ribosomal RNA
Source: RNAcentral